This 402-nucleotide ribosomal RNA is filed under the name uncultured prokaryote. RNAcentral's name for it is "bacterial SSU rRNA". It matches the Rfam family "Bacterial small subunit ribosomal RNA", at positions 355 to 774 of the family's 1533-position model. The record is from RNAcentral.
UGGGGAAUAUUGGACAAUGGGCGCAAGCCUGAUCCAGCCAUGCCGCGUGAGUGAUGAAGGCCUUAGGGUUGUAAAGCUCUUUCGCCGGUGAAGAUAAUGACGGUAACCGGAGAAGAAGCCCCGGCUAACUUCGUGCCAGCAGCCGCGGUAAUACGAAGGGGGCUAGCGUUGUUCGGAAUCACUGGGCGUAAAGCGCACGUAGGCGGAUCGCUAAGUCAGGGGUGAAAGCCCGAGGCUCAACCUCGGAAUUGCCUUUGAUACUGGCGAUCUUGAGUUCGGGAGAGGUGAGUGGAACUCCGAGUGUAGAGGUGAAAUUCGUAGAUAUUCGGAAGAACACCAGUGGCGAAGGCGGCUCACUGGCCCGAUACUGACGCUGAGGUGCGAAAGCGUGGGGAGCAAACA